Molecule: ribosomal RNA, 460 nt
Filed under: uncultured bacterium
Lineage: Bacteria
Description: partial 16S ribosomal RNA
Rfam family: Bacterial small subunit ribosomal RNA
Source: RNAcentral
CCUACGGGAGGCAGCAGUGAGGAAUAUUGGUCAAUGGACGCAAGUCUGAACCAGCCAUGCCGCGUGCAGGAUGACGGCUCUAUGAGUUGUAAACUGCUUUUGUACGAGGGUAAACCCCGAUACGUGUAUCGGGUUGAAAGUAUCGUACGAAUAAGGAUCGGCUAACUCCGUGCCAGCAGCCGCGGUAAUACGGAGGAUCCGAGCGUUAUCCGGAUUUGUUGGGUUUAAAGGGUGCGUAGGCGGUUUGAUAAGUUAGAGGUGAAAGGUCGGGGCUCAACCCCGGAACUGCCUGUAAUACGGUUGGACUAGAGAAUAGUUGAGGUAGGCGGAAUGUAUGGUGUAGCGGUGAAAUGCUUAGAGAUCAUACAGAACACCGAUUGCGAAGGCAGCGUACCAAACUAUAUCUGACGUUGAGGCACGAAAGCGUGGGUAGCAAACAGGAUUAGAUACCCGAGUAGUC